This is a non-coding RNA of Peromyscus maniculatus bairdii (prairie deer mouse), 336 nucleotides long. NCBI's taxonomy places the organism in Eukaryota, Metazoa, Chordata, Mammalia, Rodentia, Cricetidae. The record is from RefSeq and is a predicted model, not a curated record.
CCCGCCCCGUCCUUCUUCCUUGAUAUUUAGACUCUCCUCAGGCAAAGCAGUAGAGCCAGGGAAGCUCUGCGGAAACCUCUGGAGCUAUGAUCAGGAAACCUCCCUGAGCUUACAGGGAAGGUCAUACUGCCUAGGCUAUGGAUCCAGCUUCAGGCCAGGGUUUCUGUCACAUGCAACCGGACUGAGCUGGUUAGAUGUGCAAAGCAAGAAGGGGUCGUAGAUGGCCUGAGAGGACAGUCACACACAACAAAAGCCAACAAGGUGGAAGAGGAGCCAUUCAUUGGACUAUUACCUCAGUCUGGGAUCAGAAAGCCAGGGCUUUGAGCCAGAGGCAGC